AAGACUAUAGACCUGCGGAGUACCUGCGGAAGGAUCAUUACAGAGUUUAUAACUCCUAAACCCUUUGUUAAUUUACCUUUUUGUUUCUUCGGCAGGUGGUCCCUGGGAGGGUCCUGUAGCCUUAUUAGGUACCUGCCGAAGGCCACAACUCGGUUUUACAUUUUUUGUCUAAGUCGUAUUAUAAAUAAAGUCAAAACUUUCAACAACGGAUCUCU
RNAcentral lists this unclassified non-coding RNA (215 nucleotides) under soil metagenome. RNAcentral describes it as "partial contains 5.8S ribosomal RNA, internal transcribed spacer 2, and large subunit ribosomal RNA". The record is from RNAcentral.